This 1395-nucleotide ribosomal RNA is filed under the name uncultured bacterium. RNAcentral's name for it is "bacterial SSU rRNA". It matches the Rfam family "Bacterial small subunit ribosomal RNA". The record is from RNAcentral.
AGAGUUUGAUCCUGGCUCAGAUUGAACGCUGGCGGCAGGCCUAACACAUGCAAGUCGAGCGGUAGAGAGAAGCUUGCUUCUCUUGAGAGCGGCGGACGGGUGAGUAAUGCCUAGGAAUCUGCCUGGUAGUGGGGGAUAACGUUCGGAAACGGACGCUAAUACCGCAUACGUCCUACGGGAGAAAGCAGGGGACCUUCGGGCCUUGCGCUAUCAGAUGAGCCUAGGUCGGAUUAGCUAGUUGGUGAGGUAAUGGCUCACCAAGGCGACGAUCCGUAACUGGUCUGAGAGGAUGAUCAGUCACACUGGAACUGAGACACGGUCCAGACUCCUACGGGAGGCAGCAGUGGGGAAUAUUGGACAAUGGGCGAAAGCCUGAUCCAGCCAUGCCGCGUGUGUGAAGAAGGUCUUCGGAUUGUAAAGCACUUUAAGUUGGGAGGAAGGGCAGUAAAUUAAUACUUUGCUGUUUUGACGUUACCGACAGAAUAAGCACCGGCUAACUCUGUGCCAGCAGCCGCGGUAAUACAGAGGGUGCAAGCGUUAAUCGGAAUUACUGGGCGUAAAGCGCGCGUAGGUGGUUUGUUAAGUUGGAUGUGAAAUCCCCGGGCUCAACCUGGGAACUGCAUUNCAAACUGACUGACUAGAGUAUGGUAGAGGGUGGUGGAAUUUCCUGUGUAGCGGUGAAAUGCGUAGAUAUAGGAAGGAACACCAGUGGCGAAGGCGACCACCUGGACUAAUACUGACACUGAGGUGCGAAAGCGUGGGGAGCAAACAGGAUUAGAUACCCUGGUAGUCCACGCCGUAAACGAUGUCAACUAGCCGUUGGAAGCCUUGAGCUUUUAGUGGCGCAGCUAACGCAUUAAGUUGACCGCCUGGGGAGUACGGCCGCAAGGUUAAAACUCAAAUGAAUUGACGGGGGCCCGCACAAGCGGUGGAGCAUGUGGUUUAAUUCGAAGCAACGCGAAGAACCUUACCAGGCCUUGACAUCCAAUGAACUUUCUAGAGAUAGAUUGGUGCCUUCGGGAACAUUGAGACAGGUGCUGCAUGGCUGUCGUCAGCUCGUGUCGUGAGAUGCUGGGUUAAGUCCCGUAACGAGCGCAACCCUUGUCCUUAGUUACCAGCACGUAAUGGUGGGCACUCUAAGGAGACUGCCGGUGACAAACCGGAGGAAGGUGGGGGUGACGUCAAGUCAUCAUGGCCCUUACGGCCUGGGCUACACACGUGCUACAAUGGUCGGUACAGAGGGUUGCCAAGCCGCGAGGUGGAGCUAAUCCCACAAAACCGAUCGUAGUCCGGAUCGCAGUCUGCAACUCGACUGCGUGAAGUCGGAAUCGCUAGUAAUCGCGUAUCAGAAUGUCGCGGUGAAUACGUUCCCGGGCCUUGCACUCACCGCCCGUC